This 273-nucleotide long non-coding RNA is filed under the name Zonotrichia albicollis (white-throated sparrow). RNAcentral describes it as "lncRNA (ENSZALG00000002211.1)". The record is from RNAcentral. Lineage: Eukaryota; Metazoa; Chordata; Aves; Passeriformes; Passerellidae.
UGAUAUUUUCUUACUAAUGUGAUAUUUUCUUACUGCUGUGUUUUUUAAAUCCUUUCAAAGGGUGUGGCUGGCAUGGAUGGACCAACAGGUCCCAAAGGGAAUGUGGGCCCUCAGGGCGAGCCAGGGCCCCCAGGACAGCAGGGCAACCCAGGGGCUCAGGGUCUUCCAGGUCCACAAGGCGCCAUCGGUCCCCCAGGAGAGAAAGUGAGUUGAAAUUCAGCUCUGGGUUCUCCUUCCUCAGCCGUGGAUUUGCAUUUUGCUCCUUCAGCUGCU